Long non-coding RNA from Eublepharis macularius, 1067 nucleotides. RefSeq lists it as uncharacterized. The transcript is spliced from 3 exons. NCBI's taxonomy places the organism in Eukaryota, Metazoa, Chordata, Lepidosauria, Squamata, Eublepharidae. The record is from RefSeq and is a predicted model, not a curated record.
GACCCGAGCGGGGGGGGGGGCGCGCUUCCCUCUUCGGCGCUGACGCCACCCCACCCCCUCCCCGCCGCGGCGCCCCUCGCGCAUGCGGAGCCCCCUGGGCGGGCGACAGGCUCGUGGCUGGCCCGUCACGCGGCUGGAGCCCCCUCGCCCGCGCCUCGUCCCCCUCAGGAAUAAGAGGGCGGUCGGCGCCCCCCGCCCCCUCACGCGAAGCCCCGCGCAGAGGUGGCGCCGGAGCGGCCGCGUGGGGGGGGGGGUCGGGGGCUGUUUGGCGUUGCAGCCCCGUGGCCCUCCCGGCUUCGCUGGCCGGGCAGCGGGAAGGCCAGAGCAGAGGCUGUUCCUGGCAGGAGGUAAAACGGGGCCGAGGGUGGGGCCCCUGCUGAUCCCGGCCAGGGUUCCUUCAGAAGCCCCGGUCAGGCCUGAACAACGAAGCCGAGGCCUCGUUCCACGGGCCCGGUAAUCGGCACCCGGCGGGCGAGGCAGAAGCAGGUGCUCGAGGUGGCCCGCUGGAGAGCGCGGGGAACCCGCAGACGCCGUUGGCGGGCAGAUCGAGAGCAGGCGCUCAACCUCGCAGCAACCCUGUGAUGUAAUUCAGCCCGAGAAAGAGUGGCUCUGACCCGAGGGAUCUGAUGAAGGUGAAGGACAUGCAAUUACAUUGGUCCUACUUACAGCAAAAUGGCAUGAAACACACGGGCUUAAAUUGAACAUGAACGUGUUUUAAUGAGCAAAAAAAGGAGUCUGAAGCUUUCGCUGGAAAAGUGGCUUUCCAGGGAUCCAAGCAGAUAUCUUUAAGAAGAUAAGAAAAACCCUGCUGGAUCGAGUCGACUGUCCAUCCUCUUGUUUCCCACAACGGCCCACCAAGAGCCCCUGGGAAGCCCCUACAGCAGCAACAGCUUUCCCCUGCUCUCCUCCCACCACAAGCGGCAUCCAGGGGAAGUGACCUCUGACUGCGGAGGUCCCGUUCAGCCUUCGCUGCUCUCAUUCAUGGAUUUGUUUCAUCCUCAUUUAAAAACAAUGGCUGUGAUCACUUCUUGUCGCUAUACAUUCAAUAAAUUGUGUUCUGUGCAGAA